Molecule: ribosomal RNA, 207 nt
Filed under: uncultured bacterium
Lineage: Bacteria
Description: partial 16S ribosomal RNA
Rfam family: Bacterial small subunit ribosomal RNA
Source: RNAcentral
UGCGUAGGCGGUUAUUUAAGUAGGAUGUGAAAUCUCCCGGCUCAACCGGGGAACUGCGUUCUAAACUGGAUAACUUGAGUGAGAUAGAGGUGUGCGGAACUUCCGGUGGAGCGGUGAAAUGUGUUGAUAUCGGAGGGAACACCGUUGGCGAAAGCGGCACACUGGGUCUUAACUGACGCUGAGGCACGAAAGCCAGGGGAGCAAACG